Molecule: ribosomal RNA, 841 nt
Filed under: Cortinarius persplendidus
Lineage: Eukaryota; Fungi; Basidiomycota; Agaricomycetes; Agaricales; Cortinariaceae
Description: LSU rRNA
Rfam family: Eukaryotic large subunit ribosomal RNA
Source: RNAcentral
UGCGAGUGAAGCGGGAAAAGCUCAAAUUUAAAAUCUGGCAGUCUUUGGCUGUCCGAGUUGUAAUCUAGAGAAGUGUUAUCCGCGCUGGACCGUGUACAAGUCUCCUGGAAUGGAGCGUCAUAGAGGGUGAGAAUCCCGUCUUUGACACGGACUACCAGGGCUUUGUGAUGCGCUCUCAAAGAGUCGAGUUGUUUGGGAAUGCAGCUCAAAAUGGGUGGUAAAUUCCAUCUAAAGCUAAAUAUUGGCGAGAGACCGAUAGCGAACAAGUACCGUGAGGGAAAGAUGAAAAGAACUUUGGAAAGAGAGUUAAACAGUACGUGAAAUUGCUGAAAGGGAAACGCUUGAAGUCAGUCGCGUUGUCCAGGGAUCAACCUUGCUUUUGCUUGGUGCACUUCCUGGUUGACGGGUCAGCAUCAAUUUUGACUAUUGGAAAAAGAUUAAGGGAAUGUGGCAUCUUUGGAUGUGUUAUAGCCCUUGGUUGCAUACAAUGGUUGGGAUUGAGGAACUCAGCACGCCGCAAGGCCGGGUUUUUAACCACGUACGUGCUUAGGAUGCUGGCAUAAUGGCUUUAAUCGACCCGUCUUGAAACACGGACCAAGGAGUCUAACAUGCCUGCGAGUGUUUGGGUGGAAAACCCGAGCGCGCAAUGAAAGUGAAAGUUGAGAUCCCUGUCGUGGGGAGCAUCGACGCCCGGACCAGACCUUUUGUGACGGUUCCGCGGUAGAGCAUGUAUGUUGGGACCCGAAAGAUGGUGAACUAUGCCUGAAUAGGGUGAAGCCAGAGGAAACUCUGGUGGAGGCUCGUAGCGAUUCUGACGUGCAAAUCGAUCGUCAAAUUUGGG